AUUGAAACAUGUCCCUGGUUCUUCCUCGCCCGUCCAACCUCCCCAUUGCUGCCCCACCACCUCGUCAUCCCCAUGGUGUCUGCUCUCGUCUUCCUCGGAGAAGGCAAAAUUCAGCCCAUGCUCGAGUGGUUGGCCCUCCCUAGGGCACGGCGCGGCACGGUUGGCCAGGGCGGUUCUCAGCCCGGUUCACCUUUUUCUCUACAGGAAUGGGCCCAAGAUCCGAGUCCUCGUAGAUGGAGAGGGUGGACAUCUGGCAUCGAUAUAAGGCCGGCUAGACGAGGAAGCCAGACAACCCAUACUAACCCUCGUCUAGAAGAUUCCGGCGCACCGCGCGAGUCGGAAAGAGACAUCAAGAAAGACGCUGGAGUAAGGAAGGAAGCUAAUCAGAAGAAUUGAUGAAGAUGUUUUCAACCGCUCUUUUGGCUGGUCUCUUGUCGAUCGUCGCAUUAUGAAAAUAAAGGCGCAAAACGAUGGAGCUGGUUUGCCAGCAUAUAGAAGCUUUUCCACCUGGUCGUAAGCUGCUUUUGACGGCCUGAACUCAGUGGUGUGUGGUUGCUUGUAAGGCUGCCUCCAACAAUACCCUGUAAAGCAUCCGGUACCCUAUAUUUAGCGUUUCCAAUCGUUCGCUACGCGUCCAACAAGGAUCGGUAAAACAUCCGCUAAAACAUAGCGUCUGUCCGGCGAUCGCUAAAUGUGGCGUUUCUCUCUCCAUCCUCUAUCCAUGUGCGUGCUCGAUAUUUUCGUACAAGUCGCCAGCAGUGCUACGACAGUUACCCAUCCACCACCGUGCUAUGGCUGUCGGGGGCGGAGCUUCCACGCCACGGUGGUGCAGCUCGAGGACCAACAAGCGGGGAUGAAAGCCCUCAACGCCAUGGCCAUGGGGGCAGAGCUUCGACGCUGCGACAGCGCAGGUAGUAGCCUCGGCUGUGACAUCCGCAUCAGCGUGCUCGAGCCAACAUGGGAGGCCACCAUUGUUGCCGGGGAAGGCCCACUAUGACAGCCUGGUGGAGUAGCUUGCGAAUGCAACGAUGUGGACAAAUGCAGCGAUGUGGUGUCCACCGUGUGUGCGAGUAGCUAGGCCGCCAACAGUGAUCUGUGCCAAAUGCUGGACGACGCAUGAUACAUGUUUGAUGAAAUGGUCAGCCGACGUCUAGUACCAGCUUUUGUUCC
Long non-coding RNA from Zea mays, 1170 nucleotides. RefSeq lists it as uncharacterized. Lineage: Eukaryota; Viridiplantae; Streptophyta; Magnoliopsida; Poales; Poaceae. The transcript has 2 exons. The record is from RefSeq and is a predicted model, not a curated record.